GAUAUUCUAGUUAAUUAUCUAUAUAACAUAAGCUUGUCAAGCCUAAAUAACCCUAGGGUGAAUAUCC
RNAcentral lists this transfer RNA (67 nucleotides) under Laetmonice producta. RNAcentral describes it as "tRNA-Asp". Lineage: Eukaryota; Metazoa; Annelida; Polychaeta; Phyllodocida; Aphroditidae. The record is from RNAcentral.